This 253-nucleotide ribosomal RNA is filed under the name uncultured bacterium. Its description in RNAcentral is "partial 16S ribosomal RNA". It matches the Rfam family "Bacterial small subunit ribosomal RNA", at positions 524 to 776 of the family's 1533-position model. The record is from RNAcentral.
GACGGGGGGGGCAAGUGUUCUUCGGAAUGACUGGGCGUAAAGAGCUCGUAGGCGGUUUGUCGCGUCUGCCGUGAAAGUCCGGGGCUCAACUCCGGAUCUGCGGUGGGUACGGGCAGACUAGAGUGAUGUAGGGGAGACUGGAAUUCCUGGUGUAGCGGUGAAAUGCGCAGAUAUCAGGAGGAACACCGAUGGCGAAGGCAGGUCUCUGGGCAUUAACUGACGCUGAGGAGCGAAAGCAUGGGGAGCGAACAGG